AGAGUUUGAUCCUGGCUCAGGACGAACGCUGGCGGCGUGCCUAGUACGUGCAAGUCGAGCGAACUUGCGGGAGCUUGCUCCCAAAAGUUAGCGGCGGACGGGUGAGUAACACGUGGGCAACCUGCCUGUAAGACUGGGAUAACUUCGGGAAACCGGAGCUAAUACCGGAUAAUUCUUAUCAACACAUGUUGGUAAGCUAAAAGACGGCGUAAGCUGUCACUUACAGAUGGGCCCGCGGCGCAUUAGCUAGUUGGUGAGGUAACGGCUCACCAAGGCAACGAUGCGUAGCCGACCUGAGAGGGUGAUCGGCCACACUGGGACUGAGACACGGCCCAGACUCCUACGGGAGGCAGCAGUAGGGAAUCUUCCGCAAUGGACGAAAGUCUGACGGAGCAACGCUGCGUGAGUGAUGAAGGCUUUCGGAUCGUAAAACUCUGUUGUUAGGGAAGAAAGUGUACCGGUGAACAUCCGGUGCAUUGAUAGUAGUGACAGAGGAAGGGACGGCUAACUCUGUGCCAGCAGCCGCGGUAAUACAGAGGUCCCGAGCGUUGUUCGGAUUCACUGGGCGUAAAGGGUGCGUAGGCGGCUUAGCAAGUCUGAUGUGAAAUCUCCGGGCCCAACCCGGAAAUGGCAUUAGAAACUGCUGAGCUGGAGGCUUGGAGGGGGAACUGGAAUACUUGGUGUAGCAGUGAAAUGCGUAGAUAUCAAGUGGAACACCGGUGGCGAAGGCGAGUUCCUGGACAAGACCUGACGCUGAGGCACGAAAGCCGGGGGAGCAAACAGGAUUAGAUACCCUGGUAGUCCCGGCUG
This 810-nucleotide ribosomal RNA is filed under the name uncultured Verrucomicrobiota bacterium. Its description in RNAcentral is "bacterial SSU rRNA". It matches the Rfam family "Bacterial small subunit ribosomal RNA", at positions 8 to 802 of the family's 1533-position model. The record is from RNAcentral. Lineage: Bacteria; Pseudomonadati; Verrucomicrobiota.